RNAcentral lists this long non-coding RNA (457 nucleotides) under Nicotiana tabacum (common tobacco). Its description in RNAcentral is "long non-coding RNA (NTAB_LNC008128)". Lineage: Eukaryota; Viridiplantae; Streptophyta; Magnoliopsida; Solanales; Solanaceae. The record is from RNAcentral.
GGGGCGUGAAUCACCUGGGCCUGAUGCUGGAUGUGGACGACGAUGAUAAGUCAAGAAUGGUGGAGCUGCAGAAGGUUGAACUGGAUUAUGUGGAGGAACUGGAGCUAUAGGUGGUGGAGCUACAACCGGAAUUGUAGGUGGUGGAACUGGAGCUAUAGGUGGUAGAGCUACAACUGGAGCUAUAGGUGGUGGAGCUACAACUGGAGUUGUAGGUGGUGGAGCUGGAGUGACUGAAUCUCCAAAAGAUGAAACUGGUAGUACCUCAGAAAUAUCUAAGUGAUGACCUAAACCUGUGAAGUAUGAUUGGGUUUCAAAGAAGGUAACAUCAGCGGACAUAAGGUACCGCUGGAGGUCAGGAGAGUAGCAUCGAUACCCCUUUUGUGUUCUCGAGAAACCCAGAAAUACGCACUUAAGAGCACGAGGAGCUAACUUAUCUGUUCCUGGAGUAAGGUUAUGG